AUUGAACGCUGGCGGCAUGCUUUACACAUGCAAGUCGAACGGUAACAGGCCGCAAGGUGCUGACGAGUGGCGAACGGGUGAGUAAUGCAUCGGAACGUGCCCAGUCGUGGGGGAUAACUACUCGAAAGAGUAGCUAAUACCGCAUACGAUCUAUGGAUGACAGCGGGGGACCGUACGGCCUCGCGCGAUUGGAGCUGCCGAUGUCAGAUUAUGUAGUUGGUGGGGUAAAGGCUCACCAAGCCAACGAUCUGUAGCUGGUCUGAGAGGACGACCAGCCACACUGGGACUGAGGCACGGCCCAGACUCCUACGGGAGGCAGCAGUGGGGAAUUUUGGACAAUGGGCGCAAGCCUGAUCCAGCAAUGCCGCGUGCAGGAAGAAGGCCUUCGGGUUGUAAACUGCUUUUGUACGGAACGAAACGGCUCUGGUUAAUACCCGGGGCUAAUGACGGUACCGGAAGAAUAAGCACCGGCUAACUACGUG
Molecule: ribosomal RNA, 482 nt
Filed under: uncultured bacterium
Lineage: Bacteria
Description: partial 16S ribosomal RNA
Rfam family: Bacterial small subunit ribosomal RNA
Source: RNAcentral